UUCAUGGUUUGCUCCAAAUUAGUUGCUUUUGAGUUUUGAACCAUUUCAAAUUAUUGACAUGAAAGUAGCCUAAAAUUGGCAGACCCUUCUCUCUCUUGGUUCUCUACACAGGUUUCUUUCUCUCUGUUUGUUGGUGUUUCUUUCUUCCCAAACCCUCCUUUCUUUUUCUAUUUCCCUUUCUCUUUGCUACGAUCUGGCUCAUGGGUUCGAGUGCGUCAUUUCUUUUUGAAAGUAAAUGUUUUCUUUCAUAAAUUUCUUUGUUUUUAAUUUUAAUUUUGCUGGAGGAUUUUGGUUCAGAUUUUGUUUUGCUUUUGGGUCUUCCUUUGUUUUUUAUGUUCAUUUUCAUUACUAUGUUUGAGCAUGAUUUUGUUUAAAGGGUUUCUACUUUUGGAUUCUGCUAUGACCAUGUGUUAUUUUCUACAUCAAAUUGUUUACCUUGUGCUCAAACUGGAUCUUUUAUUUGUUUGUUAUGAUCUUAUGAUCCUAAUUUAUACCAUUUUAAACUUAAAUUGCAGGGUUUGUUGCAACAACAGGUAAGAACAAUUUGUGAGUUUAGUGACUUAAUUUGAUGGUUUCAGGAUAAUGACGAAGAUGCACAUCUUCUUAGUCCUAAAGCUUUGUUCCCCUAUCUCCAUCUGGUAAUGGACAGACGGAUUUGCAUAUGAGGUAGCCAGAUCAUGUAAGGAUGAGCCGUACGUUCUUCUGAAAUCAUACUUUCUAUUCAAUAUGAGAAAAAUUGAGUUUUUUAAGAUGAUUAGCAUGGUCUUGGUGAGUGCAUGAAGGAGGAAGCAAGUUAAGUUAGAAAGUAUAAUCUAAUUGUGGCAAAAUGGUUUAGCCACCAUAUACCUGAACCUUUAGCAGUGAUACAAGGAAUGUUGAAGAUAAUGAAAUUUCUAAUAUUUAUGUAAGAUAACACAACAAGAACUGCUUGCUGCAGAGAUAGAGAUGGGUAGGCGAUAACUAAGAAAAUGCUUAUCCUCUAAUUGCAGUCUUUUGUACAUGGGGUGCCUGAUAUAUAAUUUAGAAUAAGAUUUUCAGUGUAUUGUUUUUGCUGUAAUAGAAUGUGUUUUUGGAAUUGUAAGAUGUUGUACUACAUAUCUAAAUUGAAAUGA
Lotus japonicus is the source of this 1112-nucleotide long non-coding RNA. RefSeq lists it as uncharacterized. The transcript has 3 exons. NCBI's taxonomy places the organism in Eukaryota, Viridiplantae, Streptophyta, Magnoliopsida, Fabales, Fabaceae. The record is from RefSeq and is a predicted model, not a curated record.